Molecule: ribosomal RNA, 292 nt
Filed under: uncultured bacterium
Lineage: Bacteria
Also listed under: 2 other names
Description: partial 16S ribosomal RNA
Source: RNAcentral
GGACUACUGGGGUAUCUAAUCCCGUUCGCUCCCCUGGCUUUCGUUCCUCAGCGUCAGAAAAUCCCCAGUGAGCCGCCUUCGCCUCCGGUGUUCCUGAUGAUAUCAACGCAUUUCACCGCUCCACCAUCAGUUCCGCUCACCUCUAGAUUCCUCUAGCACGACAGUUUAGAGCGCAAUUCCUCGGUUAAGCCGAGGGCUUUCACACCCUACUUUUCAUGCCGCCUACGAACUCUUUAAGCCCAGUAAUUCCGAAUAACGUUUGGGCCUCUCGUAUUACCGCGGCUGCUGGCAC